GGUGGCCACCACACCACCCUGAACACGUCCAAUCUUGUUGAUCUCAGAAGCUAAGCAGGGUCGGGCCUGGUUAGUACUCGGACAACAGAAUGGGUAGCCUCAGCUUUGUGAUCGGAGGCCAUCU
Molecule: ribosomal RNA, 124 nt
Filed under: Chinchilla lanigera (long-tailed chinchilla)
Lineage: Eukaryota; Metazoa; Chordata; Mammalia; Rodentia; Chinchillidae
Source: RNAcentral